Molecule: ribosomal RNA, 253 nt
Filed under: uncultured bacterium
Lineage: Bacteria
Description: partial 16S ribosomal RNA
Rfam family: Bacterial small subunit ribosomal RNA
Source: RNAcentral
UACGGCGGGGGCUAGCGUUGUCCGGAAUUACUGGGCGUAAAGAGCUCGUAGGUGGUUUGUCGCGUUGUUCGUGAAAACUCACAGCUUAACUGUGGGCGUGCGGGCGAUACGGGCAGACUGGAGUACUGCAGGGGAGACUGGAAUUCCUGGUGUAGCGGUGGAAUGCGCAGAUAUCAGGAGGAACACCGGUGGCGAAGGCGGGUCUCUGGGCAGUAACUGACGCUGAGGAGCGAAAGCGUGGGGAGCGAACAGG